GAAUAUUGGUCAAUGGACGCAAGUCUGAACCAGCCAUGCCGCGUGAAGGAUGAAGGUCCUCUGGAUUGUAAACUUCUUUUAUCUGGGACGAAAACGGGAUUUUUAUCUCAAUUGACGGUACCAGAGGAAUAAGCACCGGCUAACUCCGUGCCAGCAGCCGCGGUAAUACGGAGGGUGCGAGCGUUAUCCGGAUUUACUGGGUUUAAAGGGUGCGUAGGUGGGCUUAUAAGUCAGUGGUGAAAUCUCCGAGCUUAACUUGGAAACUGCCGUUGAUACUAUAGGUCUUGAAUUAUCUGGAGGUAAGCGGAAUAUGUCAUGUAGCGGUGAAAUGCUUAGAUAUGACAUAGAACACCAAUUGCGAAGGCAGCUUACUACAUAUAAAUUGACGCUGAGGCACGAAAGCGUGGGGAUCAAACA
Molecule: ribosomal RNA, 417 nt
Filed under: uncultured bacterium
Lineage: Bacteria
Description: bacterial SSU rRNA
Rfam family: Bacterial small subunit ribosomal RNA
Source: RNAcentral